RNAcentral lists this RNase P RNA (338 nucleotides) under human gut metagenome. Its description in RNAcentral is "Bacterial RNase P class A". It matches the Rfam family "Bacterial RNase P class A". From Rfam's summary of the family: Ribonuclease P (RNase P) is a ubiquitous endoribonuclease, found in archaea, bacteria and eukarya as well as chloroplasts and mitochondria. The record is from RNAcentral.
AAAGAUAAUCGCGAGUACCGAAUGGUAUUUGAGGAAAGUCCGGGCUCCACAGGGCAAAGUGCUGGAUAACGUCCAGCGAGGGUGACCUCAGGGAAAGUGCUAUAGAAAUUUAAACCGCCUAGCUUUGUUAGGUAAGGAUGGAAAGGUGCGGUAAGAGCGCACCAGCAGUUAGGUGACUAACUGGCUUUGGUAAACCCCACUUGGAGCAAGACCGAAUAGGGAAGGGAUGAUGUUGCCCGCGGAGCCUUCCGGGUUGUGUCGCUUGAGUUGUCAGGUAACUGACAAUCUAGAUAAAUGAUUAUCACCGCGUGAGCGGAACAAAACUCGGCUUAUUGAUU